Molecule: long non-coding RNA, 269 nt
Organism: Carassius carassius (crucian carp)
Lineage: Eukaryota; Metazoa; Chordata; Actinopteri; Cypriniformes; Cyprinidae
Exons: 2
Source: RefSeq, a predicted model, not a curated record
GCAGAAUGAAAUCCAAUACUUUUCUUCCAAAUUUUGAGGUGCUUAUUGCAAAAAUUGUGCCCGUUUUGCUCUAUAUGUCACUUUUUCACAAAAUAUGAUGUUCCUUGUGUUCUUUUAAUACGUCAUUUUUUUUCUUUUUUUUGCUUUCAAAGACCAUUUGUAAGAUGAAGUCUUGUAUUUUCCCCAAAUCAGCAGAAAACUUGCCACAAAGACAGGAUUCCCAUCUUCCUCUAAGUCAGUUUGCAAGCAUUUGUUAAAUUCUCAGACCA